GGGCGCCCGAAAAUAUUACACACUCUCUGUCUCUCUCUGGAGUCCAAUCUCUUCUUUUAACAAGAUAACCUUACAAAGAUGGAGACAGAAGAUCCGUUUGCUCCAGUGGCAGCGCUCUGCCACAUCUCUUCCUCUCAAGAAGAACACUUGCGUCGUUGCCGGUUCGCAGGUGAACCGGAGGAUGAACCCUUUUUCAGUGGCGAGUCCAGCGACAUCCCCGUUGCCUCCACUGAAAUCAUGAUUGUUUCUCCACCGGAAUCUCCUGAGGAGAAUCAAGAUGACGAUAAUAUCCCCCGCGAUAACGACGUUUUCAUUACGCCCCCCGAAGAGUCCACUCUGGCAGCAUCCCAGGAGGAGCAACAGCAAACGGUCGCGGUCGAUAAUCGAGACAAUCCGGCGGACGAGGGAGUAGCAAACAAUGAGAAAAUUGCGGCCGUGGAUGGUAAUUGUGCGGAUGAUUUGAGAGCAGUUGAUUUGGGAAGGGAUACGGAUCUAGGGUUUUCCGCAGGAGUGGAAUUGACGGAUAGGAUUGCAAUCGAUUCAGGUUCGCUUUCAUCUCCUGUUGUUGAUCGAGCUCAUGAGGAUGAUGUAAUUGGCUGCGAAUCCUUGAACACUUGGAUUAUGGAUAGAGAAUUAGCUUCAAGUGAUGAUUUACGCGAGUCUCUAUUCAUAACACCAAAAACUGCGGAUAAAAAUGUGGGUUCGUUGACUACAGAACUUUGUCUUGGCUCUGAAACAGAGAAAACCUUAGCGAGAGUAGAUAAAUCUGUUGAGAAAUUGAAGUCUUCGUCAAAAAAAUCAAAAAAUUUGGAUGAAAAUUUGGUGUUGGAGACUUCAAAAAAUACUUUAGACACAGAAACGGAGAAUUUGGGGGAAAUUGUUGAUAGUUCAGGGUCAGAGGGCUUUAGUCCAAGCAAGUGCCUAAAGUCACUGCGAAAUCAUCAAAUUGAAGAAUUCGAAGGUGGUGAUAGGGAAUUUCAUGGAGAUAAUUCUGCAAAGAGAAAGCUGGAUUUUAAUACUGAGGCACUAGAAUCUAAUUUUGAAGAAAAUAUUGCUGCUCUAGAGAUUAGUGAAGGUAGAAUAGAAGGUGGAAAUGAAGAGAUUGAAGAUGAUGAAGCUAAUAGACCGUGCAUCAUUAGUGAGAGGUUCUCAGAUGCAAAAUUUCCAGAAAAGCAGAAUGAUAUUAAAGCUAAGAACAUUGAUGAUAUUGACAAGUUGGGUCAUGUUGGUCCCAUGGGUGCACAUCCUCCAGAAAAGAAGAGAAAUGUUAGAGCACAACGAGUAUUGCCUAAGUCAUUAUGUGGAAACAUUGGCAAUGUAAGAGGAGAACCGGUGCCUGAUGAUGUUCUGUGCUCAAGGAACUUUAAGAAGGUCACAAUAUUGGAUGUGCUAAAAAUGGUCUCGCAGGACUAUAAUUACGAUCCUAGUGUACUAAAUGGUAGUGUCAUGGGGGCUGCGAAGAGGCGGGGGAUGACUUUUCCUUAGGCCUUGUUGGCACUUAGCAGCCAGAAGAGGGAAACAGAGUGGGAGAUGAUGAUGAGAGAGAGUAGGUUUCAAGUGGAUACUGGUCUUUUAGGGGAUUUGGCAUGGUGGGUUAAUUCGAAACCUUUGAGUCACGAGUUGUAUAGUUUACAGCUUCUGUAUUUUGGUCUGUAAUUGGACAUUUUGAAUCUGCAAACUAGAAGUCAAUCUAAUACUUGUUUGUUAGACUAAUUUGUAUAGGAGAUGUUUCUGUAGCUUUUGAUGCUGGCUGCCUGGCUGUAGGGGUUUACAAAAGAAAUUAUUUUGUCGCAUAUAAACUAUUAGCAAGUCUUGUUUAUGGCCUUCUAUUGCAUUCACCGUUGAUCCUUGAAUG
This 1855-nucleotide unclassified non-coding RNA is filed under the name Hevea brasiliensis (rubber tree). The record is from RNAcentral. Lineage: Eukaryota; Viridiplantae; Streptophyta; Magnoliopsida; Malpighiales; Euphorbiaceae.